AAUUUGAUUGAAAUUUCUUAACAUUAUGAGACAUCAAGAAACACAAAUACAGUGCUACUACAAGUCAGAAGAUAGCCUAAUCCUCUCACUGUCUAGGCAUUCAAUAUUCUCCAUAACCAGCUUAAGCUGAUAUGUGUAAAGGAAGGAUUCCAGAAGAUUCUUCUGGUGUGAAUCAGGAUCCUUAUUCUGGGAGAAUUAAUCCAUUAGCAUAGCCAACUUGAAUUCCCUCCUGGCACAGCCUAUGGGAGUUUGCACAUGGCACAGGAAACAAGGGAAAGGAUUCACUACACCAUGGGAAUGCCCUGAUGAAAGCAGACAUGCUCAGACUGUAAAUGAAGGAUGAAUCAAACAUCUUUCCACCUGCAUCUCAGGUACUUUGCUUUCUUAUUGAAGAAAGACAUACUGAAGGAGCUAAAGGGAUGCUGGAGUGGUCACCUAACAUUUUCACCUUCCAAUCUUACAAUCCAUUUACCUCUAUAAAGAUAAACCAAAUAUAAUGAACUAUACUGGUAGUAUAUACAUCUACCAACUGCGCACAAGUCAAAAUAUGAGAGGCAGAGUCAUAUUAGCAUGUUAGCAUAUUAGCUGGUUACUCUUUUUUAUUGACUUGACUGUCAGUAAAAAUGAAUUUGUCUGUCAGAGACAAUAUAGAUGCAAUAGAUGCACAAAAUCCAUUAUCAAACUAAACUAACAAACUCGAGUUAAAAGCAAGAAUUCCCUAGAAAAGUGCUAUAGUUGCUCCAAAAUAAAACAAAAUGCAUGAUAUAUUUAAUUGAAGUUUCUUCCUUGCAGGAAAAGGAGAAAUUCCUAAAACAUAAAAUCUUUCCAACAAAGUCAACUGCAACUCCAAGGGCACAGUAAGGCCAUGCAAUACGAUGUUCACAUUAGAGACAACCAAAUUAACACUACAUCAUCAGCUAAUAUAUUUACAUGCCAUAUUAAAAUAAUAUAUAGAAGCAGUAGUUUCAGUCCUAAUAACUUCAUUAGUAGCACACUGUGAAUAGGCUUGCACUGCAAGUUGCAGAUAUGCUUUUAAAAUCCCCUCACAGGUCCUAUUUUCAGUAUCUUCCUCCCAUUAGCUGAGUGCCAUACCUGUGGAAUAUCAUUCUGAGCAGCUAUCUAAGAAAUGAAUGACAGGUCUUCUGACACAGUAUCAUUCAUGUUCAGGUCUACUGUGCUCUUUCUUUACUUGCCUUGAUAAUUAUUUUGCUCUUUCUCACAUAGCUAAGAGGUCAAAUUGUAGAUUUAGAGAACCUAAGGCUAUGAAAAUUAUCAUGACCAUUUAUGCUGACCUCUUGAAUAAUGCAGACAACACAAUUAUAUAAUUCCAAAUUAAAUCUAUAAAAUCCUACUAAAGGAAAAGUUUAUUGUACUGAAUGACUUCCAGUUCCUAUUUAAAGGACUUCAAACUCUAAAGAGCUUAUCAUAUUCCUAAACCAUUUGUUCCACUGGUUAAGUACCCUGAGUAUAAAAUUCUUAUCUAAAUCUGCCGAACUUCACCUAACAUGCAUCAAACUGCUCAGCUUUCUACCAGAUGAAUGAUGCUACCCCCAGAAACCUCCUCUAUCUCUAUAUUGUUGUAAGUUUUACUUAACUCUCUUCAUAAACUUUUUUAGACAAAUUAGCAUUCUAAUUUAUCUCAGUCAUGGUGGUAAUAUUAAUCCAAUUUAGUAAAUAUUUUGGAGAAACAAUAAACCUAAGCUUAUGGAAGAAUGCAUGGGCAAACAUACAUAUCGAACACAGAGGCAGAAAGACUGAAUAAGAAUGACCAUAAAGCUGGAAAAACGAUCUUACAUUAGCUAUCUAGUCUAGUUUCAAAAUAAAUCAUUAGACUGAGCAAUUUCAUCAUCAUAUUCUUGCAAAAUAUUCAGCUGUUUGAAGCAAAAUUGUAUUUUGAUCAUUUAGGUCAUUUAUACAGACUUUAAAUAUUCUUACUCACAAACAAACUGAAAACAAAAGAAAAAAAUAAUUUUAAAAGUCAUUCAAAAUUUUGGCAUUUACCAUGAUUUAAUAUUCUUAUUUGUUCCUAAUCUUUCAACAUUAUUUCAUCACUCCUUUCUUACUAAUUGUCAUAAUAAGCAUGACUAUGUAAGUUAAUAUGUGCUGAAAAAAAACUCAGCUAAACAGAAUGAAAAUAUUUAAAAUGUAGCUCCAAGGAACAGCUGAGGAAAAGGGAAAGGUUUCAUACUUUUAUUAAAAGUUUAGACUGAACUACAGGUUAAAGGUUCUGUAACACACUAACAACAUGGUUUCCGUUACAGUAUAGCUUUUGGAUGGUUACCAAGACAAAUUUUAGCUCCUUGUACAACUCUAACCAUGUUUGCUAUACAAACUUCUUUGCCUUAUUCAACUCCUUCCAUAAACUCAAGACUGUCACCAAGACUGGAAGAAGUCAAAUUAUUUUUCUAACUCACAGUGAAAAUACAAUAUUUAUCAUUUUUUACAGCUCCAUUCUUUUCCCCGCGUGAGCAGGAUUUUGUCUCCUUUGCAAAGCACCAACAUAGUUUCAAAUAUAUAAUGAUUAAUUUUUAUAUCAAUAUUUUAAAACUCGAGGUCCUAUACCAUGCUGGCUUUUAUAAACUUCCUACAAGUGAGCUAAAACAGUAUUGUGCUUGACCAAACCAGAUUUCACAUGAAAGUAAUAACUACACAGAGUUAAGCUUAAAGACUAAAUGACUGAAAAAAUGCUGAAACCUUAUAAGGACCAACAGGGGGAAAACAUAUACUCCAAAAUGUAUGGAACCAUAAAAUAAUUUUCUGGAACAAACUAAAAAUACUAUCAGGAUAAAAAUAUAAAAGCAAAAUGACAUAGCCAAUUAUAACCAAUGUAAAAAUGAGACACUCAGUUCAGACAGAGGAGUUUUUCUGAAGUGUUACAUUAGUCACAAUAAAGUAGGCAAUUUGAGAGAAGUCUGAAUUAACAAAAAGCUGGAAUUUUAACAAGAAAAUUCACAUGUUGAUCAGAACUUCAUAUUCCUAGAAACUCUGAACCAAUGUAAGUCUUAAACUUUUUUUCCAAAGGAGGACAGAUAAUGACGUAGUUCAGAAUUAUAACAGCUGUUCCAUAAGAAAGAAGAAUCACUAAUUAAAAACAUAAGAAAGACAGGACCUCAAAUGCUGCUUCUCAUCUGGCUUCCCCUCAAGGCACUUCAUUUUUAUUGCCCCCCCUUUGGACACUCUCUCUAAUAGCUUAAUGUCUUUUUUAAUAUUGUGGUGCCCAAAACUGCCCCCAGCACUCAAGGUGAGACUACUCCAGUGCAGAGCAGAGUGGGACAAUCCCCUCCCUUGCCCAGCUGGCCAUGCUGCGCCUGCUGCACCCCAGGACACGCUUGGCCCUCCUGGCUGCCAGGGCACUGCUGACUCAUGUUCAACUUGCCAACAACCAGGACCACCAGAUUCUCUUUCCACAGCACUUCUCUCCAGCAUCUCAAUUCCCAGUCUGCACAUCCAUCCAGGGUUGCCCCAUCCCAGGUGAAGAAUCCAGCACUUUCCUUUGUUGAACUUCAUACAGUUGGUGAUUGCCCAGCCCUCUGAUUUGUCAAGGCCUCUCUGCAAGGCCUCCCUGGCUUCGGGGGAGUCAGCAGCUCCUUGCAGUUUUGUAUCACCUGUGAACUUGCUCAGCAUCUCUUCCAGUUCUGUGUCUGAAUCAUUUAUAAAGACUUGGAAGAGCACAGGGUUGAGGACGGAGCCUGCAGAACCCCACCAGUGACAGGUCAGUCUCAUGUAUUCCCAUUCACUGUAACCCUUUGUGUGCCUGACUUCAUGAGCCAGCUGCUCACCCAUCCCAUGAUGUGUUUAUCCAGCUGUGGGCUGGAAAUUUCAUCCAGAAGGAUUCUGUGACAGAUGGCAUUGAAAGGUUUACAUAAACACAAGAUUACAUCAAUUGGCUUCCAUUGAUCAGCUGUGUGGGUUACCUUGUCACAAAAGGAAAUCAGGUUUGAAAAGAAGGACCUUCCCCUCAUGAACCCAUGUUGGCUAUGACCAAUGACUGCAUUGCCUUUCAGGUGUUGUGCAAUACCUGCCAGAAAAAUCUUCUGCAUAACCUUACCAGACAUUGAAGUGAGUCUUCAGACUAAGAGGCCUGUAGUUUCCAGCAUCGUUCUUCUUGCCCUUUUUGAAAACAGGGACAAUGCUGACCAGAUUCCAGUCAACUGGGACCUCUCCAGAAUCCUAAGACCAUUCAAAAAUCAUCAGGAGAGGCCUCAUGAUGACAUCAGCCAUGUCUGUAGCUAAUGUCAGAUAAAUCCCAUAAUGCAUUAUAGAUUUAUAGGGAUCCAGCUAGAACAGGAGAUCCCUUACAAUUUCAGGGUCAGCUGGGAGUUUAUCCUUCUCACUCAUGGUCCUCCAGCUCAGGGUACUGGAAUCCUUUUAGUCCAUCACUAGUGUUGAAGACAGAGGAUAAUAAAGCACCUUGUCUAUAUCCCUGUUCCUGGGGUGACCAUCCUCAUCCUCUAAUGUGCCCAUGUAAUUUCUGCACUGAUGUGUGCCAUUAAUGUAUUUUAAAAACUGUUUUGACUGUUCCUUACAUGUCUGACCAGCUUCAACUCCAAUUGAGCUUCAGACACACAAAUUUUCUCCCUAGAGUGUCAAUCAAUAUCUCUGCAUUCUUCCCAUGUCACCUGACCUUGCAUCCACAGGGUAUAUGCCUUCCUUUUCUACCUUAACUCCAAAAGAUUCCUUCUUAGCCAAUCUGGACUUCUGCUUUGUCUGCUUGACUUCUGACAUUUUGGAAUUGCCUAUUCCUGUGCCCUUAAGAUGGACUUCAGCACCUGCAUAAACAUCUUCCAAGGGGACCUUACUAACUAUUUUCCUGAGCAGCCUGAACUCUGCUCUCCUCAUGUCCAAAGCUGAAGUUGUGUUGGCACUUUUCCUACCAUCAACAGAGAUUUUAAACGUGACUGCAUGGUCACUCUGGCCAAGAUGGCCACCUGUCAUGGCUUGACAUGGAAGUGAAUUUUCUCAGGAAGAAGAGGGUCAAACCAAUCAGUGGUCACAUUUGAGUAUUGGAACCUGGAGUGACCACUGAAGGCUGGACACGCCUCUGAGAACACAGAGGGGUUAAAAGCAAGAACUCCCAGGAGAACUUGCUCUUUGGAUCUGGUCAUCAGAGAGUGCAGACCUCCCCUGCCCAGGCACAGGCUGGGUGGGGGACAGGAGCCAUGUGGCCUGGGGAGGUAGGCCAGGGGGUGAAGGGUCUGGAACCGAGCUGGGCCAGCUCCUGUGGACGGAAGGGUGGAGAACAUCUGAGAUGUCUUUGUUCCCCGCCCCCACCCAGAGGGAAAGAGAUGGAGAGCCUGAAGGCACCUGGAAAUUUGCCAGCAAAGGAAAAGGAGAAGCAGGUGGAAGGUGCCCAGCCAUGGGAGUUGGAGUCCUGGGCCGAGAUUUCAGCCGUCUGGGGAGUCCGAGACUUUUAACCCUUUCCUGGGAAGUGAAAGUUUUAUGAAAUAUUACUCCUUUUCGAUUUGAAA
This is a long non-coding RNA of Taeniopygia guttata (zebra finch), 5468 nucleotides long. RefSeq lists it as uncharacterized. The record is from RefSeq and is a predicted model, not a curated record. NCBI's taxonomy places the organism in Eukaryota, Metazoa, Chordata, Aves, Passeriformes, Estrildidae.